Molecule: ribosomal RNA, 497 nt
Filed under: uncultured bacterium
Lineage: Bacteria
Description: partial 16S ribosomal RNA
Rfam family: Bacterial small subunit ribosomal RNA
Source: RNAcentral
GAUGAACGCUGGCGGCGUGCCUAAUACAUGCAAGUCGAGCGAACGGACGAGGAGCUUGCUUCUCUGAUGUUAGCGGCGGACGGGUGAGUAACACGUGGAUAACCUACCUAUAAGACUGGGAUAACUUCGGGAAACCGUAGCUAAUACCGGAUAAUAUAUUGAACCGCAUGGUUCAAUAGUGAAAGACGGUCUUGCUGUCACUUAUAGAUGGAUCCGCGCUGCAUUAGCUAGUUGGUAAGGUAACGGCUUACCAAGGCAACGAUGCAUAGCCGACCUGAGAGGGUGAUCGGCCACACUGGAACUGAGACACGGUCCAGACUCCUACGGGAGGCAGCAGUAGGGAAUCUUCCGCAAUGGGCGAAAGCCUGACGGAGCAACGCCGCGUGAGUGAUGAAGGUCUUCGGAUCGUAAAACUCUGUUAUUAGGGAAGAACAAAUGUGUAAGUAACUGUGCACGUCUUGACGGUACCUAAUCAGAAAGCCACGGCUAACUACGUG